RNAcentral lists this non-coding RNA (21 nucleotides) under Caenorhabditis elegans. The record is from RNAcentral. Lineage: Eukaryota; Metazoa; Nematoda; Chromadorea; Rhabditida; Rhabditidae.
UUCCAUGCUAUCUGACUUGAG